This 632-nucleotide small RNA is filed under the name Pongo abelii (Sumatran orangutan). RNAcentral's name for it is "retained intron". The record is from RNAcentral. Lineage: Eukaryota; Metazoa; Chordata; Mammalia; Primates; Hominidae.
CACUGAAGACAGAAGUGUAAAGUGAGCUUUUUCUUCCAGACUCCAUGAAUUUGAUGAGCAGGUGGCUGCUGUUCGGGAAGGGAUGGCCCGCGUUGUGCCUGUCCCCCUCCUCUCUCUGUUCACCGGCUACGAACUGGAGACGAUGGUGUGUGGCAGCCCUGACAUCCCGCUGCACCUUCUCAAGUCGGUAGCCACCUAUAAAGGCAUCGAGCCUUCCGCAUCGCUGAUCCAGUGGUUCUGGGAGGUGAUGGAGUCCUUCUCCAACACAGAGCGCUCUCUCUUCCUUCGCUUCGUCUGGGGCCGGACGAGGCUACCUAGGACCAUCGCCGACUUCCGGGGCCGAGACUUCGUCAUCCAGGUGUUGGAUAAAUACAACCCUCCAGACCACUUCCUCCCUGAGUCCUACACCUGUUUCUUCUUGCUGAAGCUGCCCAGGUAUUCCUGCAAGCAGGUGCUGGAGGAGAAGCUCAAGUACGCCAUCCACUUCUGCAAGUCCAUAGACACGGAUGACUACGCUCGCAUCGCGCUUACAGGAGAGCCGGCCGCCGACGACAGCAGCGACGAUUCAGAUAACGAGGAUGUCGACUCCUUUGCUUCGGACUCUACGCAAGAUUAUUUAACAGGACACUAAG